GAGAGAUGGUCGAGUGGUUUAAGGCAGCGGUCUUGAAAACCGCCGCGGGGUCUCCUCGCCGCGGGUUCGAAUCCCGCUCUCUCC
Molecule: transfer RNA, 84 nt
Filed under: human gut metagenome
Also listed under: 1 other name
Rfam family: tRNA
About the family: Transfer RNA (tRNA) molecules are approximately 80 nucleotides in length.
Source: RNAcentral